RNAcentral lists this ribosomal RNA (274 nucleotides) under uncultured bacterium. Its description in RNAcentral is "partial 16S ribosomal RNA". It matches the Rfam family "Bacterial small subunit ribosomal RNA", at positions 523 to 796 of the family's 1533-position model. The record is from RNAcentral.
AUACGGAGGAUCCAAGCGUUAUCCGGAAUCAUUGGGUUUAAAGGGUCCGCAGGCGGUCAAUUAAGUCAGAGGUGAAAUCCCAUUGCUCAACAAUGGAACUGCCUUUGAUACUGGUUGACUUGAGUUAUACGGAAGUAGAUAGAAUGUGUAGUGUAGCGGUGAAAUGCAUAGAGAUUACACAGAAUACCGAUUGCGAAGGCAGUCUACUACGUAUAUACUGACGCUGAGGGACGAAAGCGUGGGGAGCGAACAGGAUUAGAAACCCCUGUAGUCC